This 87-nucleotide transfer RNA is filed under the name Candidatus Anoxymicrobium japonicum. RNAcentral describes it as "Actinobacteria bacterium HGW-Actinobacteria-3 tRNA-Leu". It matches the Rfam family "tRNA". From Rfam's summary of the family: Transfer RNA (tRNA) molecules are approximately 80 nucleotides in length. Their secondary structure includes four short double-helical elements and three loops (D, anti-codon, and T loops). The record is from RNAcentral. Lineage: Bacteria; Bacillati; Actinomycetota; Candidatus Geothermincolia; Candidatus Geothermincolales; Candidatus Anoxymicrobiaceae.
GCCGAAGUGGCGGAAUGGUAGACGCGCUGGUCUCAAAAACCAGUGGGGCAAAACCCCGUGCCGGUUCGAGUCCGGCCUUCGGCACCA